UAAGAAAGACAGAUCGCAUGAUCAGCUUUAAAAGGUCGGCGUAAAGCUGUCGCUAUGGGGAUGGGCCCCGCGGUGCAUUAGCUAGUUGGCAAGGUAAAGGCUUACCAAGGGCGAUGAUGCAUAGCCCGAGUUGAGAGACUGAUCGGCCACAUUGGGGACUGAGACACGGCCCAAACUCCUACGGGAGGCAGCAGUAGGGAAUCUUCCACAAUGGACGCAAGUCUGAUGGAGCAAACGCCGCGUGAGUGAAGAAGGUUUUCGGAUCGUAAAGCUCUGUUGUUGGUGAAGAAGGAUAGAGGUAGUAACUGGCCCUUUAUUUGACGGUAAUCAGCCCAGAAAGUCACGGGCUAACUACGUGCCCAGCAGCCGCGGUAAAU
RNAcentral lists this ribosomal RNA (377 nucleotides) under uncultured Lactobacillus sp. RNAcentral describes it as "bacterial SSU rRNA". It matches the Rfam family "Bacterial small subunit ribosomal RNA", at positions 173 to 525 of the family's 1533-position model. The record is from RNAcentral. Lineage: Bacteria; Bacillati; Bacillota; Bacilli; Lactobacillales; Lactobacillaceae.